RNAcentral lists this ribosomal RNA (459 nucleotides) under uncultured bacterium. RNAcentral describes it as "partial 16S ribosomal RNA". It matches the Rfam family "Bacterial small subunit ribosomal RNA", at positions 338 to 795 of the family's 1533-position model. The record is from RNAcentral.
CCUACGGGCGGCAGCAGUAGGGAAUUUUGCGCAAUGGGCGAAAGCCUGACGCAGCAACGCCGCGUGAUUGAUUAAGCCCUUCGGGGUGUAAACUUCUUUUGUCAGGGAGCAAUUGAGUCCACGUGUGGGCUUAGCGAGAGUACCUGAAGAAAAAGCAUCGGCUAACUCCGUGCCAGCAGCCGCGGUAAUACGGAGGAUGCGAGCGUUAUCCGGAUUUAUUGGGUUUAAAGGGUGCGUAGGCGGAAUAUCAAGUCAGCGGUAAAAAUUCGGGGCUCAACCCCGUCGUGCCGUUGAAACUGAUGUUCGUGAGUGGGCGAGAAGUAUGCGGAAUGCGUGGUGUAGCGGUGAAAUGCAUAGAUAUCACGCAGAACUCCGAUUGCGAAGGCAGCAUACCGGCGCCCAACUGACGCUGAAGCACGAAAGCGUGGGUAUCGAACAGGAUUAGAUACCCUUGUAGUC